RNAcentral lists this ribosomal RNA (485 nucleotides) under uncultured bacterium. Its description in RNAcentral is "partial 16S ribosomal RNA". It matches the Rfam family "Bacterial small subunit ribosomal RNA", at positions 28 to 507 of the family's 1533-position model. The record is from RNAcentral.
GAUGAACGCUGGCGGCGUGCUUAACACAUGCAAGUCGAACGGAAAGGCUCCUGCUUGCAGGGGGACUCGAGUGGCGAACGGGUGAGUAACACGUGGGCGAUCUGCCCUGCACUUCGGGAUAAGCCUGGGAAACUGGGUCUAAUACCGGAUAGGACGAUGGUUUGGAUGCCAUUGUGGAAAGUUUUUCGGUGUGGGACGAGCUGGCGGCCUAUCAGCUUGUUGGGGGGGUAAUGGCCUACCAAGGCGACGACGGGUAGCCGGCCGGAGAGGGCGGACAGCCACACUGUGACUGAGACACGGCCCAGGCGCCUACGGGAGGGAGCAGUGGGGAAUGUGGGACAAUGGGCGAACGCCUGUUCCAGCGAUGCCGCGUGUGUGACGCAGGCCGUCGGGGUGGAAAGCACUUGUGGCGGGAACGAAAAGGACUGUGCCAAUACCACGGUUCGAGGACGGGCCCCGCAGAAUAAGCACCGGCUAACUACGUG